This 1397-nucleotide ribosomal RNA is filed under the name uncultured bacterium. Its description in RNAcentral is "16S ribosomal RNA". It matches the Rfam family "Bacterial small subunit ribosomal RNA". The record is from RNAcentral.
AGAGUUUGAUCCUGGCUCAGCCGAACGCUGGCGGCGUGGUUAAGACAUGCAAGUCGUACGGGACCCGCAAGGGUUCAGUGGCGGACGGGUGAGUAAUGUAUCGCUAAUGUGCCCCGGAAUCCGGGAUAGCUAGCCGAAAGGCUAGGUAAUACCGGAUGAUAUACCUUGAAGGCAUCUUCGAGGUCUCAAAGGAGUAAUCCGGUCUGGGAGCAGGCGAUAUCGUAUCAGCUAGUUGGUGAGGUAACGGCUCACCAAGGCGACGACGCGUAGCCGGGCUGAGAGGUUGGCCGGCCACAUUGGGACUGAGACACGGCCCAGACUCCUACGGGAGGCAGCAGUGGGGAAUAUUGGACAAUGGGGGCAACCCUGAUCCAGCGAUGCCGCGUGGGUGAAGAAGGCCUUCGGGUUGUAAAGCCCUUUAGGUUGGGACGAAGGUUAUUACCGGAUAAUGGUAGUAACUUGACGGUACCGACAGAAUAAGCACCGGCAAACUCUGUGCCAGCAGCCGCGGUAAUACAGAGGGUGCGAGCGUUAAUCGGAUUUACUGGGCGUAAAGGGCGCGUAGGCGGUGAGAUGUGUGUGAUGUGAAAGCCCCGGGCUUAACCUGGGAAGUGCAUCGCAAACUGUCUGACUGGAGUAUAUGAGAGGGUGGCGGAAUUUCCGGUGUAGCGGUGAAAUGCGUAGAUAUCGGAAGGAACGUCAAUGGCGAAGGCAGCCACCUGGCAUAAUACUGACGCUGAGGCGCGAAAGCGUGGGGAUCGAACAGGAUUAGAUACCCUGGUAGUCCACGCUGUAAACGAUGAGUACUAGAUGUUGGUAGGGGAACCUAUCAGUAUCGAAGCUAACGCGAUAAGUACUCCGCCUGGGAAGUACGGCCGCAAGGUUGAAACUCAAAUGAAUUGACGGGGGCCCGCACAAGCGGUGGACAUGUGGUUUAAUUCGAUGCAACGCGAAGAACUUACCUACCCUUGACAUCCUAGGAAUCUGGCUUAGUAGCUGGAGUGCAGAAAGGAACCUAGAGACAGGUGCUGCAUGGCUGUCGUCAGCUCGUGUUGUGAGAUGUUGGGUUAAGUCCCGUAACGAGCGCAACCCUUGCCCUUAGUUGCCAUCAUUUAGUUGGGGACUCUAAGGGGACCGCCAGUGGUGAACUGGAGGAAGGCGGGGGCGACGUCAAGUCAUCAUGGCCUUUAUGGGUAGGGCCACACACGUGCUACAAUGGGGCGUACAGAGAGUCGCGAACCUGCGAAGGGGAGCCAAUCUCACAAAGCGUCUCGUUAGUCCGGAUUGGAGUCUGCAACUCGACUCCAUGAAGUUGGAAUCGCUAGUAAUCGCGAAUCAGCAUUGUCGCGGUGAAUACGUUCCCGGGCCUUGUACACACCGCCCGUCACGUCAUGGAA